UUAAUUUUCAUUCGAAAAUUUGGUCAUCAGACAAUGUUAUCAAAUGCAAGUUUUUUUGGUUGGUGCUAGCGGCAGGCUGACGCCGUGGUCGUUCCCAACCGAGCUGCUGCCGAAGCGAAAGGGUUUUUUGGUUCACAAAGGGUUUAGAAUGCCUCUCGACGGUCAGAGACCGGAGCCGGCACCUGGUAAUGAUCCUUCCGCAGGUUCACCUACGGAAA
This 218-nucleotide unclassified non-coding RNA is filed under the name uncultured fungus. Its description in RNAcentral is "sequence contains ITS1". The record is from RNAcentral. Lineage: Eukaryota; Fungi.